RNAcentral lists this ribosomal RNA (480 nucleotides) under uncultured bacterium. RNAcentral describes it as "partial 16S ribosomal RNA". It matches the Rfam family "Bacterial small subunit ribosomal RNA", at positions 30 to 506 of the family's 1533-position model. The record is from RNAcentral.
UUGAACGCUGGCGGCAUGCUUUACCCAUGCAAGUCGAACGGUAACAGGCCGCAAGGUGCUGACGAGUGGCGAACGGGUGAGUAAUGCAUCGGAACGUGCCCAGUCGUGGGGGAUAACUACUCGAAAGAGUAGCUAAUACCGCAUACGAUCUAUGGAUGAAAGCGGGGGACCGUAAGGCCUCGCGCGAUUGGAGCGGCCGAUGUCAGAUUAGGUAGUUGGUGGGGUAAAGGCUCACCAAGCCAACGAUCUGUAGCUGGUCUGAGAGGACGACCAGCCACACUGGGACUGAGACACGGCCCAGACUCCUACGGGAGGCAGCAGUGGGGAAUUUUGGACAAUGGGCGCAAGCCUGAUCCAGCAAUGCCGCGUGCAGGAAGAAGGCCUUCGGGUUGUAAACUGCUUUUGUACGGAACGAAACGGCUCUGGUUAAUACCCGGGGCUAAUGACGGUACCGUAAGAAUAAGCACCGGCUAACUACGU